Molecule: transfer RNA, 71 nt
Filed under: Protagonista lugubris
Lineage: Eukaryota; Metazoa; Arthropoda; Insecta; Blattodea; Blattidae
Also listed under: 1 other name
Description: tRNA-Trp
Rfam family: tRNA
About the family: Transfer RNA (tRNA) molecules are approximately 80 nucleotides in length. Their secondary structure includes four short double-helical elements and three loops (D, anti-codon, and T loops).
Source: RNAcentral
AAGGUUUUAAGUUAAUUUUAAACUAAUAUCCUUCAAAGCUAUAAAUAAAGAUUAAAUUUCUUUAAGCCUUA